UUGUUUCUGUGAUGAGAUCACGGAAUAUCGCGCCAGGCGUGGCGUCCGAAAACGCGUGAGGAGAUGUUCCAUGCUGCCUUCCUUCUGAGAAACAC
Small nucleolar RNA from Acipenser ruthenus (sterlet), 95 nucleotides. RefSeq annotates it as small nucleolar RNA U83B. The record is from RefSeq and is a predicted model, not a curated record. The transcript has a single exon. Lineage: Eukaryota; Metazoa; Chordata; Actinopteri; Acipenseriformes; Acipenseridae.